GACGAACGCUGGCGGCGUGCUUAACACAUGCAAGUCGAACGAUGAGGCGGUGCUUGCACCGCGGAUUAGUGGCGAACGGGUGAGUAACACGUGAGUAACCUGCCUUUGGCUCUGGGAUAAGCGCUGGAAACGGUGUCUAAUACUGGAUAUGACCUGUCCUCGCAUGGGGGUGGGUGGAAAGCUUUUGCGGCUUUAGAUGGACUCGCGGCCUAUCAGCUUGUUGGUGAGGUAGUGGCUCACCAAGGCGACGACGGGUAGCCGGCCUGAGAGGGUGACCGGCCACACUGGGACUGAGACACGGCCCAGACUCCUACGGGAGGCAGCAGUGGGGAAUAUUGCACAAUGGGCGAAAGCCUGAUGCAGCAACGCCGCGUGGGGGAUGACGGCCUUCGGGUUGUAAACCUCUUUUGGUAGGGAAGAAGCCUUCGGGUGACGGUACCUGCAGAAAAAGGACCGGCUAACUACGUGCCAGCCGCCGCCGUAACAC
This 487-nucleotide ribosomal RNA is filed under the name uncultured bacterium. RNAcentral's name for it is "bacterial SSU rRNA". It matches the Rfam family "Bacterial small subunit ribosomal RNA", at positions 28 to 526 of the family's 1533-position model. The record is from RNAcentral.